AUGGAGUACCUGUUUGAGAAAAUGUCCUCGUCCGAUAAGGAUGCAAAGCCCAUCCAACUGCAUUUGUUAAAAACAAUCACGGAGGAUUUUUCAGAGAAGAUGAAAGUUGGUAGUGGUGGUUAUGGAGAAGUUUACAAGGGAGUGCUUAAUGGGGACGAAAUAGCUGUCAAGAAGCUUUUUCCCGUCCCUGGACUUAACGAUGAGGCAUUUGAAAAUGAAUUCCGUAACCUUAAGAAGGUUCAACAUGAAAAUAUCAUUCGUAUGAUUGGUUACUGCUAUGAGAUAGCACAUAAAGAUGUUGAGUACGAAGGAAAAUUAGUUUUCUCAGCAGUAAUAGAGAGAGCUCUCUGCUUUGAAUAUAUGAAGGGAGGAAGCCUGGCCAAGCAUAUUUCUGACAAGUCCUGCAUACUUGAUUGGCCAACGACGUACAAAAUAAUUCAUGGGACUUGCGAGGGCCUGCACUACCUUCAUAAGGGACAAGUACAGAAGAUUUUUCAUCUAGACUUAAAGCCGGAUAAUGUAUUGCUGGAUGAAAAUUUUGUGCCCAAAAUAGGAGAUUUUGGUUUGUCCAAGCUCUUUGGUACAUCAUAUACUCACCAAAUAAGUGCUAUGAAAGGAACGGUUGGGUUCAUGCCGCAAGAAUACAUACACAAUCGCAAGGUCUCACCAAAGAAUGACGUUUUCAGUCUUGGAGUCAUAAUUUUCCACAUGAUGGCGGGAGAAAAGGGAUACGGUGAUUAUUGGGAUGCGCGUCGUCGUCCAAAUUUUUCAAAACUAAUUCAACAAGAUUUUAUCGACAGUGUACAAGAAUACUGGAAAACAAAGAUGCAGGCAACCAAAGGUUAUAGAUGGGACGAAGCAGACCUCCUAGGGGUAACGAAAUGUAUUGACAUGGCAAUGCGUUGUGUGGAGGACGACCGAGACAAGCGACCUUACAUGACUGAAAUUAUCAGCGAGCUCAAGGAACUAGACUCUAAAGUCGGGGAGAUGUUAAAUAAAGAUCCAAAACCAACUAUACACCCGUUGAGAAACUGUGUCAAUGGUUUGGGAGCGUUGAAACAGAAUAAAAGUCCCAACAAUUUGGGAAAGGAUAUUGUGGUGGAUCCGUCCCUGGAACUCUGCUUCCCAUUUGAGCCAAACAAGGACAUACGGUGCUGCCUGCAGCUCAUCAACAAGGCGGCAUCCAGCCACAUUGCUUUUAAUAUAAACACCGAUGUAGAAAAGUAUCUUGCACAACCACACAAAGGGAUCAUUGCACCAUAUUCCAAAUGUUACAUCACCCUAACAUUGCGAGAAGAAGAGGUGGCAUUGCCGAAUAUGCAGUGCUUUGACAUGUUGGUUGUGCAGACCGUAAGAGUGAGCAAGCACUUCACGUCCGAUGAAAUAACUCAAGACUUCCUUCAAAACAUCAGCGCCAUGGAUGAGGUGAUAUGGCCGAUUCAUUAUGUUGGAUUGGACCAGUAA
RNAcentral lists this ribosomal RNA (1464 nucleotides) under Triticum aestivum (bread wheat). RNAcentral's name for it is "partial small subunit ribosomal RNA". Lineage: Eukaryota; Viridiplantae; Streptophyta; Magnoliopsida; Poales; Poaceae. The record is from RNAcentral.